UACGGGAGGCAGCAGUGGGGAAUUUUGGACAAUGGGACGAAAGUCUGAUCCAGCCAUGCCGCGUGCGGGAAGAAGGCCUUCGGGUUGUAAACCGCUUUUGUCAGGGAAGAAAAGCUCCGAACUAAUAUUUUGGGGUGAUGACGGUACCUGAAGAAUAAGCACCGGCUAACUACGUGCCAGCAGCCGCGGUAAUACGUAGGGUGCAAGCGUUAAUCGGAAUUACUGGGCGUAAAGCGUGCGCAGGCGGUUCUAUAAGACAGAUGUGAAAUCCCCGGGCUCAACCUGGGAACUGCAUUUUGUGACUGUAGAGCUGGAGUGCGGCGAGAGGGGGAGUGGAAUUCCGCGUGUAGCAGUGAAUGCGUAGAUAUGCGGAGGAACACCGAUGGCGAAGGGCAAUCCCCUGGGGCCUGCACUGACGCUCAUGCACGAAAGCGUGGGAGC
This 441-nucleotide ribosomal RNA is filed under the name uncultured bacterium. RNAcentral's name for it is "bacterial SSU rRNA". It matches the Rfam family "Bacterial small subunit ribosomal RNA", at positions 340 to 769 of the family's 1533-position model. The record is from RNAcentral.